RNAcentral lists this ribosomal RNA (485 nucleotides) under Lactiplantibacillus plantarum. RNAcentral's name for it is "bacterial SSU rRNA". It matches the Rfam family "Bacterial small subunit ribosomal RNA", at positions 37 to 484 of the family's 1533-position model. The record is from RNAcentral. Lineage: Bacteria; Bacillati; Bacillota; Bacilli; Lactobacillales; Lactobacillaceae.
CAAAUUGCCGGCGAGCCUAUACAUGCAGUCGAACGAACUCUGGUAUUGAUUGGUGCUUGCAUCAUGAUUUACAUUUGAGUGAGUGGCGAACUGGUGAGUAACACGUGGGAAACCUGCCCAGAAGCGGGGGAUAACACCUGGAAACAGAUGCUAAUACCGCAUAACAACUUGGACCGCAUGGUCCGAGUUUGAAAGAUGGCUUCGGCUAUCACUUUUGGAUGGUCCCGCGGCGUAUUAGCUAGAUGGUGGGGUAACGGCUCACCAUGGCAAUGAUACGUAGCCGACCUGAGAGGGUAAUCGGCCACAUUGGGACUGAGACACGGCCCAAACUCCUACGGGAGGCAGCAGUAGGGAAUCUUCCACAAUGGACGAAAGUCUGAUGGAGCAACGCCGCGUGAGUGAAGAAGGGUUUCGGCUCGUAAAACUCUGUUGUUAAAGAAAAACAUAUCUGACAACAACUGUGCACGUAUUGAAGAAAUUUACCA